AUGGUCACCGCCGUCAUGCCCGCCGCUGCGUCUCCCACCGUCAACGUUGCAAGUGUCCGCACCCAUGUCCCCGUGACACUGGACCUCCACGCCUCCAACUUCACCAAGUGGAGGAUGCUCAUCCGCGUGCAUCUUCGCAAGUACGAUCUGCUCUCCCUUGUCAACACUGCCACUGCCGAGGCGGACCGCACCACCGACUGGGUUCGUGAGGACUAUAUUGUCCGCUCGUGGCUCUAUGGUUCAAUCUCGGACGAAAUCCUCGACAUAAUCGUGGUGGAGGAACAGACGGCGCAAGAAGCUUGGACACUCAUCACCAACCUGUUUCUUGACAAUCAGAUGACGCGCGCCGUUUAUCUUGAGGCGGAGUUCCGGGGCCUCGUCCAGGGCGAUCUCUCCAUCACCGCUUACUGUCACCAUUUGAAGGCGCUCUCCGAUGCUCUCAGCGACAUUGGCACCCCCAUCUCCGACCAGACACUUGUCCUCAAUUGCCUUCGUGGUCUCAGUCCGCGCUUUUCGGACAUCACGACGAUUGUCACCGUGCAGAACCCCCUUCCCUCAUUCAGCCAGACGAGAUUGCUACUGACCCUCCGCAAGACCCAGCUCGCGAAUUCCGUCGCGAUUGGGCACCAGACGGCGCUCUAUGGGGGUGCGCCUCCCCAUGGCGCAAUGGCUCCACCUCCUCUG
RNAcentral lists this ribosomal RNA (684 nucleotides) under Triticum aestivum (bread wheat). RNAcentral describes it as "partial small subunit ribosomal RNA". Lineage: Eukaryota; Viridiplantae; Streptophyta; Magnoliopsida; Poales; Poaceae. The record is from RNAcentral.